RNAcentral lists this ribosomal RNA (480 nucleotides) under uncultured bacterium. RNAcentral's name for it is "partial 16S ribosomal RNA". It matches the Rfam family "Bacterial small subunit ribosomal RNA", at positions 28 to 507 of the family's 1533-position model. The record is from RNAcentral.
GAUGAACGCUAGCGGCAGGCCUAACACAUGCAAGUCGAGGGAGAGGUUACCUUCGGGUAACCAAAACCGGCGCACGGGUGCGUAACGCGUAUACAAUCUGCCUUUCACAUAGGGAUAGCCCGAAGAAAUUUGGAUUAAUACCUAAUGGUAUAUAAGAGCGGCAUCGUUUUUAUAUUAAAGCUACGGUGGUGAAAGAUGAGUAUGCGUUCUAUUAGCUAGUUGGAGAGGUAACGGCUCCCCAAGGCGACGAUAGAUAGGGGUUCUGAGAGGGAUGUCCCCCACACUGGUACUGAGAUACGGACCAGACUCCUACGGGAGGCAGCAGUGAGGAAUAUUGGACAAUGGUCGGAAGACUGAUCCAGCCAUGCCGCGUGCAGGAUGAAGGUCCUAUGGAUUGUAAACUGCUGUUGUAAGGGAAGAAUAAGGAGUACGUGUACUUUGAUGACGGUACCUUACGAAUAAGCAUCGGCUAACUCCGUG